UGCAGAUGGUGUCCUGCUUUGCUGGACUGA
RNAcentral lists this non-coding RNA (30 nucleotides) under Mus musculus (house mouse). The record is from RNAcentral. Lineage: Eukaryota; Metazoa; Chordata; Mammalia; Rodentia; Muridae.